CUGGGCCCAGAUCGUUUACCGUGAAAAAAUUAGAGUGUUCAAAGCAGGCAGAUCCAAUUUUCUGCCACCGAAUACAUUAGCAUGGGAUAAUGGAAUAGGACCCUGUCCUCCUAUUUUCAGUUGGUUUGCCGCGAGGACCAGGGUAAUGAUUAAUAGGGAUAGUUGGGGGCAUUAAUAUUUAAUUGUCAGAGGUGAAAUUCUUGGAUUUAUGAAAGAUUAACUUCUGCGAAAGCAUCUGCCAAGGAUGUUUUCAUUAAUCAAGAACGAAAGUUAGGGGAUCGAAGACGAUCAGAUACCGUCGUAGUCUUAACCAUAAACGAUGCCGACCAGCGAUUAGGAGACGUUGAAUACAAAACACCACCAUGCGCAUUGCGGUCGUCUUUGGUGUCGCUCAACAGGCGACACCGGGGCGGCUUAGCUCGCAUGGCACCGGUGAAUGACU
Molecule: ribosomal RNA, 442 nt
Filed under: Acanthamoeba griffini
Lineage: Eukaryota; Discosea; Longamoebia; Acanthamoebidae
Description: SSU rRNA
Rfam family: Eukaryotic small subunit ribosomal RNA (bases 1-390)
Source: RNAcentral